AUGCCUGACAGGAGGAAGAAACAUCAGGUCUUCCACAAUUCCAGCAGCAGCAGCUGCCCACCACGCAGGAGCAGCAGCAGCUGCAGCUGCCCAUCACGCAGGACCAGCAGCAGCUGCCCACCACGCAGGACCAGCAGCAGCUCACAAGUUCACAAGUUUGUGGACAAGGCUCAGCGGGCCCAACACUCUCAAGGAAAAGAAAGACAACGCAGGAAAUUUCACACCUUGCUUUCAAAAACCCACACUCCUCAGUCUGAAACCACACAACUCAGAGAAGAAAACACACCCGAAGACAGUCGGGAGAAAUGGGUAAAGAACUUUUCAGACCGGAAUCUCACUGAACCUGAAAAGAGGGUUUUAGCCAAAGGACUCAAUUUCGCCAUUUCUCCGCAACAGUUGCCCAUAGUGGACCUCAUCACAGCCACAGAAACCGCCAUACGGAUUAAUAAAUUAUCACAGACAGAAGCAGAGCAAAUCAGGAUGAAAGUCUCAGCCACCCUCUCCAGUGCGAAAGUCCCUCCGUCUAACCUCACACUACAAGAAAAGAAGGCCGUCGCUUCCCUGAGCAAAGACCACAACAUCACCAUAUUACCAGCGGAUAAGGGAAGGUGCACCGUGGUCCUAAACACAACGGAUUACCACACAAAGAUCACUACUCUCCUCAGUGACAACAACACCUACGAAGUUUUAAAACGAGACCCCACAAGCAGCUACAAAAAGAAAGUCAUAGCUUGCCUUCAAGACCUUGAAAAGGACAAAAUCAUUGACCCCCUCACAUAUCACCGCCUUUAUCCAGGGGAUGCCAUACCCUGCAUUUAUGGACUUCCUAAGAUCCACAAGGAAGGGGUCCCACUCAGACCCAUAGUCAGUAGCAUAAACUCAGCUACUUACAACAUUGCAAAACACCUUGCUACCAUCCUGGCACCUCUCGUGGGGAACACCCCACAUCACAUCAAGAACUCCACCGACUUCACCGACAAGGUCCAGAAACUUACCCUGGAUCCAGAUGAAACCAUGGUGUCCUUUGAUGUAGUCUCUCUCUUCACUUGCAUACCCACCACGGAAGCAGUGGAGACUGUCAGAAAACGACUACAAGAAGACAGCUCCUUGGAAGACAGGACCAACUUCACACCCGAUCACAUCUGCACACUGUUAGACCUCUGCCUUACCACAACAUACUUCAAAUACAACGAAGGCUUCUACAGACAAAAACAUGGCUGUGCCAUGGGCUCCCCUGUGUCACCUAUUGUAGCCAACCUUUACAUGGAGGAAGUGGAAAGAAAGGCUCUUGGCUCUUUUAAAGGGAGAGUACCCAGCCACUGGUACAGAUAUGUAGACGACACCUGGGUCAAAAUCAAGACACAAGAAGUGGAAUCCUUCACUGCGCACAUUAACGCCGUGGAUAAAAACAUCAAGUUCACCAGGGAAGACACAAAGGAUAACUGUUUGCCUUUCCUGGACUGCGCCGUGCACAUUGAAGAGAAUGGAAACCUCAACAUCGAAGUUUACCGGAAGCCCACACACACGGACCAGUACCUCCUCUUUGACUCCCAUCACCCUCUGGAACACAAACUUGGAGUAAUUAGGACCCUACACCACCGGGCAGAACAUGUUCCCUCUAAGCCUGAGGGAAAAAAGAAGGAACACACACAUGUAAAGGAAGCACUGAAAACAUGUGGUUAUCCUAACUGGGCGUUCAUAAAGUCAGCAAAGAGGCACAGAAAAGAAGAUCAGACACCAGCGAGGGAGGAUAAGAAAGACAGACGCAACAACGUUGUCAUCCCCUAUGUAGCCGGUGUAUCAGAGAAACUCAGGAGAGUUUUCUCCAAGCACGACAUCCCAGUGUACUUCAGACCCAGCAACACACUCAGACACAAACUGGUUCACCCGAAAGACAAAACUCCUAAACACAGACUGAACAACGUGGUGUAUGCUGUACAGUGCAGCGAGGAAUGCCCAGACCUCUACAUUGGAGAGACCAAACAGCCACUUCACAAGCGCAUGGCACAACAUAGAAGAGCCACCUCCACAGGACAAGACUCAGCAGUCCAUCUGCAUCUUAAGGAUAAAGGUCACUCUUUCGAGGAUGCCAAUGUUCACAUUUUGGACAGAGAGGACAGAUGGUUUGAAAGAGGAGUGAAAGAGGCCAUCUAUGUCCACUGUGAGCGACCAUCUUUGAACAGAGGCGGUGGUUUACGACACCAACUGUCUGCCAUCUAUAAUCCAGUUUUGAGUUCCCUCCCCAGACGCCUUAACGCCCACUCACAUCCUGGGCCAUCUGACCUCAGGAAAUCACAUGAUAGGGUGGGGCCAGGUUUCACAAUGGGCUCACCCGAAACCCUGGCUGAUUAG
This 2352-nucleotide long non-coding RNA is filed under the name Oreochromis niloticus (Nile tilapia). Its description in RNAcentral is "lncRNA (ENSONIG00000031455.1)". The record is from RNAcentral. Lineage: Eukaryota; Metazoa; Chordata; Actinopteri; Cichliformes; Cichlidae.